RNAcentral lists this long non-coding RNA (4591 nucleotides) under Elaeis guineensis (African oil palm). RNAcentral's name for it is "long non-coding RNA (EGUI_LNC037252)". Lineage: Eukaryota; Viridiplantae; Streptophyta; Magnoliopsida; Arecales; Arecaceae. The record is from RNAcentral.
GGUUCUAGAUCGAUGAUUUUUACUUUAUAGAAGUUAUUUUAAUAUUAAAUUUAGCUCUAUAGGAGAACAAACUUCUAGAUAGGAGAAUAUUAAGUAGCAUUCUUGACACCCAUAUUGUAAAUAUAUUGAGUUCAGUUUGAUGUCAGUAAAGAUAAAAAUUCUUAGAUAUUGAUCAUCAAUUUUGUUGGGGGUGAUUUUGUACUGAUCGAAGCCAUGAAGCAUAUAAAGGAAGGAUUGACCCUUUUGGAUUCUCAAAUUCUAUGCCUCAUUCAAAAUUCAAAUGAGCCCAAUAUGACAGCUGCCCACUGAACAGAUAAGAAAGAAAUAAUGGCCAUAUCUCUUUAGAUAAAUUAAGGCUAACUGCCUAAUUUUUCUUUCUCUCAUGGCUUCUCAGCCUCUACCUAUAAAUAAAGGCCCACAGGAGAUCCGAAAGUAUGAAAUUCUUUCUCUCCCAAAAAUGCUAACUCUUUUUCUCUGUUGUUCAGAUUUCUAACUUGAGUGUCAGAGGAUUCCCAUCGGAGCCACCUUCAGUCGGAGACUUUUCUUGUAGAUCCCGUCGUUGCCGAUCUACCAUCGUUGUAGAUCUCCAGUUAAUCCGAUCCAAGGAUGAAAUUCUGCCAUAAAAGAUUAAUACUAGAGGAAGGAGCCGGAUCCAUUCACGAGAAGAAAUAAGUAGUCAAUGGAAGGAGUUUCAUCGUAUUGCUCCAACACCAUCCACUUCCUGGCAAUCAAAUCCAUCAGACACCAACGAGAUCCAAGCCGACUACCUCCAAAAUUGACAGACGUUGAUUAGAUCUAAUCACCUCUGCACCCAUCAAUGCUCUCCAAACAAUCCUAAUCGGGCUCGAAACCGGGGGGCAUGUGAUCCGAAUGAAGAAGGAGAUACAAAAAACCCUUAAUUUUCAAAUUAUUUUCUCAUUUACAUUUCAAAUUUUGAAUUUUGGAACGGGAUCUAGACAAAGAAGGAGACCAUGGCAUCCCACACACGGAAAGAAAGGAGAUCCAAACAAGAAAGACUGUGACAGAUUCAGAAACCUUUAUAGUAAAAAAUCCUCAAGCCCUCAUUUAUUCCAUUAUUAGCUCCUCCUUGCAGGAUCACUGGUCUUUGAACACCCGAAUCGAGGUUGAAGGUGAACCGAGAUGGGGCAGGUAAUAAAAAGAAAACAAAGUCCAAAGAGCUCCCAUACAAAGUUCAAGACUCUCAUGCUAACGAACCAAAUGGUGAGACCGAAGCUCACAUCAAAGAGCCAUUGCCCACAACAAAAAAAAGAAGAAAUGAAAAAAGAAAGAAGAGUGAGAGGGGAACAAAGCAGAGGCCAAGUGAUGACCCCCCAAGAAGCAACUGAGAGGACUCCUGCCCUCUUGCAUCAUCGGGCUCGAUCCCCCAUGUGUGCACCUGACUUCGGAUGAUGCCGAGGUUGCCAGCUAGUGGCCCCACGCUCCCUACGUGCAUGCCAUCAGCCGGCACCAGGGCCAGCUACUUCGAGCCUAAGGCCCUUUGGCGCACCCACAUGCGGUCUUCGUCGAAGCCAGAGUAGAUCCGGUAGACAUGGAGCUGGCCAAAGUGGGUCCGAUCUCCGAUGGCACUAGUCUCCCACAAGAGGCUCCAAAAUCUCUCGCAUGUCCUCACAACCGACACUGCAGAAGUCACCGACGGAGGCUUUGAAGUCUCUUUCCACGUGUCCCUGCUGGCAUCAAAGCCAUCUACGAACAGAUCCGAAAUCCCCACACAUGCGUCUCACGUCCAGCCGCUCUGAGACCACCCGUCGGCUGAUCCAGCCCCUAACAGUCCUAAAGUCACUUGUAAGAAGCUCCCAAGUCUCUUCAUCCCUCUCUCUCAUCUCCGAGAAAAAGAAAGAAGAAGGACAAGAAGUCCUCCGCUGCCGCCGCCGCAAACGGUCAAGAUAAAUUUUCAUCUCCCCUCGGCUGCCAUGGCCGAUGAUGAUCCGUUCUAAAGGGAUUACCUAAUCAAGCCACAAUCAUUCUCCACCUCGAUCGACACAUCUAAGUGGCCGAUCCUCCUUGCCGCCGGUACCGACCCUCCUACUUCAACUCCUAGGUUAUGCUCCAAUGAAUGCACACCACCUGCCACAGCCAUGCCGAUGCCAUCUGCCUCAUUCUCACCACGGGUGCCCUUGGAAUGCCUUAUCCCCCUCCGGCCUCUCUACCACUGACCUUGCCAUUAAGCACUCCAACCUGGUCGCUGCAUGCAAAGUGGCCCUCGACCGCACCGAUGCCAUCAUCGGCUUUGAUGACUCUCCCACCUCUCCUCUCCUCAACCUCCACCUCCGACACCGACACUGACACCAUCCUCCAUAGGAAGAAGGGUGAUGCCGCCUUCUCCACCACAUAACCAAGUGGCUUGAGCGGAGUCCAAGGUGGAGCUAAUUAUGGGAUUUGACAGAGAGAUGGUCCUCCUCGAGAACUACAGCACUCUCAACUACCAUAGAGUGUCACUGAUCUUGCUCACCCAGCUUCGGGCCUCCAAAGCCACCUCGCCCACUGAUGUCGUGCAACAGAAUGGUCGAUCUCUUCUUUCUGAAAGACAAGGUUCGGGGCCUACAUAAGUACGAGGACCUUUAUGAAAAAUUUUGAAUCAAGCCAUGCACAAUGCACUGUACGCUCUGAAGCUUUAAACGAGAUAGCCUUUAUUUUGAGCCAGGCUAAGCCUAGGUUAGCAUUGGAAACCUUGAUUUAGGAUGGAGAAAUCAACAAAGGCCUCCUAAGCGGCGUAGCAAAUCUGAAGCCCAGAUCAAGUCCAUUUGAAGUCAAAAUAAGGGCCAAUCCGAAGUUAGAUUCAGAUCAAUCUAAAGUCAGAUCUAGAUCAAUCUGAAGCUAGAUCCAGACCAAUCCGAAGCCCAAAUCUAGGUCAAUUCAAAGUCAAAAUCAAGACCAGUUCGAAGUCAAAAUCAAGGCCAAUCCAAAGUCAAAAUCAGAUCAAUUCAAAGCAAAAAUAAGGCAAAACCAAAUCAAAAAUAAGGCCAAGCUGAAGCAAAAAUCAAAUCUAAAUCAAGGCAAAUAAAGAGCCAAAUAAAAUCAAAGGGCUCUCAAACAAAAUUCGCAACUCUCACGGUAAGAAACUCUCAAGCAUCUAUUAUUUCUAUUUUCUUCUUGCAAGGCAAUAGAUCCUUAAGUACAUGAGCCGAGGCAAAAAUUAAAUAAGGCCACAGUAAAAGUAAAAUCCAAAAAAGAGGUGAAGACUAAGAUGAGGUAAGGAUGGUCGAGGCCUAGGUCAUCAAAAGGCUAGCCUUAAAAGGCCAAUACCAUCAGAGGGCCAAAGUCAUCUGAGAAGUCUGAGCAAACGAAGGUCAGGCUAUCAAACAAAAGGCUAACAGCUGAGAGGAAAGAUUGAAAUCGAAGUGAAGCCCAAUGAAGCCCAAGGUUGACUAAAGGCAAAGUGGCAAAAAUAGGGGUAACAUGAUUUCAAUUAUCUAUUUUAUUUACUCCAAAACUUGAUUUAACUAAAAAAUCGAAAGGCUUAGCCAAAGUCAGUCCGGUGAGUUCUCUCAUUUUUUAUGUGUAGAUCCAUAACUCAAAAUCUCGAUGACUAAGAAGUGAUGGCUAACCUACAAGGAUCCUCAAAAGCCAUACUUGCUCUUCAAUGAGUCAACACUCAUGAAGAUCUUAGUCAUAUAGGAAGUGGGGGCUAACCUAUAAAGACCCCCAAUACUCGUCGAUCCAACCUACAUGGGCAGAAACCUCGUUAGUUUGGAAAGCAGGAGAUAAUGUAUAAGGACCUCCGAAGGUCGUGCUUGUUUUUCAGUGAGGCCAAUGCCUAUGAAGAUCCCGACUGGUCGAGAAAUGGAGGCUAACUUAAAAAGACCUUUAGAUGGCUAACCUACAAGAACCCUUAGCCUGUCAACUUCGACAAUAAAUGAAAGGUACACUACAGGACCCUCAAAGUUCUCUCACUUUUUAGCAAGCAAAGCUGAAGACACUCUUGGCACAUCCUUGAUAAUUCUAAAGUACUUCCUUCGUCCGAUUCAAUUUUAACUCAGAUUCGAGAGAGUAGAGAGCUUAUGUUGGUGGUGAUUUUAUAGGGACCGAAGCCAUGAAGUAUGUAAAGGAAGGAUUGACCCUUUCGGAUUCUAAACUUCUGUGCCUCAUUCAAAAUUCAAACGAUCCCAAUAUGACAGCUGCCUGCUGAACAUAUAAGGAAGAAAUAACUGCCAUAUCUUUCUAGAUAAAUCAAGGCUAACCGUCUAAUUUUUUUUUCUCUCACGGCUCCUUAGUCUCUACCUAUAAAUAAAGGUCCACAAGGGACUCCCAAGGUAUAAAAUUUUUUCUCUCUCAAAAAUGCUCACUUCUUCCCUCUAUUGCUCGGAUUUCUAACUAGAGUGUUGGAGGAUCCCCAUUGGAAUUACCUCCGGUCAGAGAUUUUUCUUGCAGAUCCCACCAUCGUUGAUCUGCCGUCGCCAUCCAACUUCAGUCAAUCCGACCCAAGGAUGAAAUUCUACUACAACAGAUAUGUUCGGGGUGAUUUUAUACUGACCGAAGUCGAGAAGCAUAUAAAGGAAGGAUUUAGCCUUCCAUAUUUUCAAAUUCCAUACCUCAUUCAAAAUUCAAAUGAUCCCAAUAUGACAGCUGCCCA